RNA transcript from Cucumis sativus (cucumber), 1549 nucleotides. It is a transcript of the gene named rho GDP-dissociation inhibitor 1, with no coding region annotated. NCBI's taxonomy places the organism in Eukaryota, Viridiplantae, Streptophyta, Magnoliopsida, Cucurbitales, Cucurbitaceae. The record is from RefSeq and is a predicted model, not a curated record. The transcript has 5 exons.
CAUGAAAUUUCGGAUCACCACAUGACUCUUUCCCUUUCUCCCCUUUUCAACUUUUUCUAACUGCCUUCCCCUAAUUCCCUUUCCUCCCCUUCUUCUUUUUCUUCUCACGAGGGUUAAUUCUCCUCGUGGGCUUCUUCUUCGUCUUCUUCUUCUUUCUUUCUUUUUCUUUUUUCUUUUACACCUUUCUCAAAUUUCUCUUUCUGUUUCUCUCAUUCUCCUCUUUUAUCUUUCAUUUGGGUUUUUGGGGGACUUCUUCUUCUUCUUUACCUUUUUUCCUCAAUUGGGUCACUUGUGGGUGUGUUUUUAUCUGUGCCAUUGUGGUACGAUUUUUGGGUUUUGAUGGCUUGUUGAUGUCUGUGGCCGUUGAAAUCGGUUCGAGUUCAAAAGGGAUAAUAAUGGGGUUUGAUGAGAAAGACAAAGAUGGGAAACAAGAGGAUUCUUCUCCCAAAUUGUUAGAGCGCAAGAAAGGUGAGGAUGAAGAACAGGAAGUUGAUGUUGUGCCUUCUUCUGGUAUGACUAGGAAAAUGAGUGAAAGCUCAAUCUGUGCAACUGAAGAAGAAGACGAUGAAGAUGGAAGGAAAAUCGAAUUGGGUCCUCAAUACACUUUGAAAGAACUUAACGAAAAGGAUAAGGAUGAUGAAAGUCUUAGGAGGUGGAAAGAACAGCUUCUGGGUGAUGUUGAUUUUGAAUCUGUUGGAGAAACUCUUGAGCCAGAUGUAAAGAUUUUAAGCCUAGCAAUAAAAUCAUCAGGGCGACCUGACAUUGUUCUUCCAGUUCCUGAAAGUGGAAAUCCUAAAGGCCUUUGGUUUACUUUGAAGGAAGGUAGUCGUUACAGCCUUAAGUUUACUUUUCAGGUUAGCAACAACAUUGUUUCUGGUCUCAAAUAUACCAAUACAGUCUGGAAAACUGGAGUCAAAGUUGAUAGUACAAAAGAGAUGAUUGGAACUUUCAGCCCUCAACCUGAACCUUAUGAUCAUGAGAUGCAGGAAGAAACAACUCCUUCUGGCAUCUUUGCCAGAGGAUCAUAUUCAGCCAGAAGCAAGGUCAGUUUUAGGAUUUUCCAAUAAGGAUGGGCUAACAUUAAUCUCACCUGUUCCCGGACAUGAAAAUGAGUUAAUCCAUUUUGACCAACUACCCAUUUAGGAGUUUACCCAAAUACAAUGCUUCAGUUUGUUGAUGAUGAUAACAAAUGCUACUUGGAAAUCAAUUACACAUUUGAUAUAAGGAAAGAUUGGAAGGAGGAGCAGCCUGCUUAAUCAUACCCCUUGAAUAUUUCGGAUCGUUCGGUGCUUGAUUCAGCCCGAAUCCGCUGCUCUACUCGGGUUUCUUAAGAUGUUUAAUUUUGCUGCUUUCUUAUUUAUAAUUCUUGAUCUUCUCAAAGUUGAUGUUUUUUCUUCUUCUUUUUUGACAACGAGGAUGAUGAAGGAUGUUUUUUGAACUAACAAUAGAAAAAAAAGAAAAACAGAGAUGAGUUAGAUCUGUACUGUCAAUAAAAAAGCUCAGCUUUGGUUUUUUGCUAAAUGUGAAAAGGCAAUCUUCUUUCCCCUCU